Molecule: long non-coding RNA, 1288 nt
Organism: Gallus gallus (chicken)
Lineage: Eukaryota; Metazoa; Chordata; Aves; Galliformes; Phasianidae
Source: Ensembl
CUGGGGAUGAGUGGGGGUCCUCCAGAGCCAUAGAGUUGUGGCACUUGAGGGGAUAGAGUGGACACAGGGGUUGUUGGGGGGACUGGGUAGGCCUGGAGGACCUCCAGGGCCAUAGAGUUGUAGCGUAUGCGGGGCUAGAGUGGGCAUAAGGGUUGCUUGGAGGACUGGGGAGGGGUGGAGGUCCUCCAGAGCCAUAGAGUUGUGGCACUUGAGGGGCUAGAGUGGGCAUAAGGCUUGCUGGGAGGACUGGGUAGGCCUGGAGGUCCUCCAGAGCCAUAGAGUUCUAGCGUGUGUGGGGCUAGAGUGGGCAUAAGGGUUGCUUGGAGGGCUGGGGGUCCUCCAGGGUCAUAGAGUUGCGGGGUGGGUGGGGGGAGAGCGGGCGGUUUUGCGUUCGGAGGACUCACCAUUCACCUGCCCAUAGCCGGAAGUCCUCCAGAACCAUAGAGUUCUAGCGUGUGUGGGGCUAGAGUGGGCAUAAGGGUUGCUUGGAGGACUGGGUAGGCCUGGAGGUCCUCCAGAGCCAUGGAGUUAUAGGGUGUGUGGGGCUAGAGUGGGCAUAAGGGUUGCUUGGAGGGCUGGGUAGGCCUGGAGGUCCUCCAGAGCCAUAGAGUUGUGGCACUUGAGGGGCUAGAGUGGGCAUAAGGGUUGCUUGGAGGGCUGGGUAGGCCUUGAGGUCCUCCAGAGUCAUAAAGUUGGGGGAUAUGUGGGGAUAGAGUGGGCAUAAGGGUUGCUGGGAGGGUUGGCUAGGCCUGGAGGUCCUCCAGAGCCAUAGAGUUGCAGCACUUGAGGGGAUAGAGUGGCCACAGGGGUUGCUGGGGGGACUGGGGAGGAGUGGGGGUCCUCCAGAGCCAUAGAGUUGUGGUAUUUGAGAGGAUAGAGUGGACACAGGGGUUGCUUGGAGGGCUGGGUAGGCCUGGAGGUCCUCCAGAGCCAUAGAGUUCUAGCGUGUGUGGGGCUAGAGUGGGCAUAAGGGUUGCUUGGAGGGUUGGCUAGGCCUGGAGGUCCUCCAGAGUCAUAAAGUUGGGGGAUAUGUGGGGAUAGAGUGGGCAUAAGGGUUGCUUGGAGGACUGUGUAGGCCUGGAGGUCCUCCAGAGCCAUAGAGUUGUGGCAGUUGAGGGGAUAGAGUGGCCACAGGGGUUGCUUGGGGGACUGGGGAGGGGUGGGGACCUCCAGAGCCAUAGAGUUGGGGGAUAUGUGGGGAUAGAGUGGGCAUAAGGGUUGCUGGGAGGGCUGGCUAGGCCUGGAGGACCUCCAGAGUCAUAGAGUUGUGGCACUUGAGGGGAUAGAG